Long non-coding RNA from Triticum dicoccoides, 4431 nucleotides. RefSeq lists it as uncharacterized. NCBI's taxonomy places the organism in Eukaryota, Viridiplantae, Streptophyta, Magnoliopsida, Poales, Poaceae. The record is from RefSeq and is a predicted model, not a curated record. The transcript has 4 exons.
GAUGCUGUGCGUGGGAGAGAGAGUGGGAGGAGUGCGCGUACACGGGAGGCGGGAGGCGGGAGGCGGGGCCAGGGAGGAGGAAGACAGCCGCAACGGCGACCAGUGUCGCGCCGGCGGCGGCGAGGAGAGCUCCGGGGUCACCGGAUCGAGCGUCGCCGGGGAGGGGGACACUCCACGGCGGCGGUGCUUGGGGCUCCGACGAGCGGAGGCGAGCGGUGACAGGAGGCGACAGGAGAAGCUCCGCGGCGACCUGAAGGCCAUCAGCCAUGGCCGUUGUGGUUUCGCGUGCGCCCGCGAGCGGCUGCAUGCUGGGGGAGGCGGAGCUUGACGCAGCGCGCGAACCUAGCCUUGGUGCGAGUGCGACGGCGGCGCGGCUGCUGUCCUCCCGUCCAACCCGCAGCACGUCGAGCCUCACCGGAGUUCCUCCAUGACGCCGUAAGCAGCUGCCACUGCCCUCCAUGGAGCCCCGACGCCUCCGCCAUGAACCCAUCCAUCCCUCCUGUGCGCGCUUCCCUGCAAGUCCAGACGCCCGCCCGCAGCUCUCUGCAUCGAGCAGCAGUAGUCCGGGCAGAGGACGACGCCUCUGCCUCGACCGCUCGCCCCCUCUGCUUCGCUCUGGACUGCCAAGCCCCUCCCGUCCUCAUCCCCGUGCAGCUGCGCGCUCUCGCCUGCCCCCACGGUGAGCUCCGCCUCCUGCGUGUGGUCGCCGCCUCCCUCAACCUCCACCACCUGCUGCAAGUUGGUGCCCAGGGCGUCGCAAGCUGCCAGCGGCGGCAGAGUUGCUGCUCCCGUGUCGUGAUUGGACUCCGUGUUCUUCUCCAACAGCAAAUACGUGUUCUUCUCCAACAGCAAAUACGUGUUCUUCUCCAACACCAAUCAAUGGAUUUCCCGAGCCGGAUUUGAGUUGCCUACUAUAAGAAGAAAGGGUCCUCGGACCAGAAGCUCCAUCACAUCAAAUCAAAUCCCGUCAAAAUUGCAAUCUUCGUCGAAACAUCCAUGUUGCCGCCGAGUUCGCCGGAGGAAGAAGCGCAGAGUUCGCCGGAGGAACAAGCGUUGGACGUGUGUGGCGGCGUGCUCGGAGAGCGGGGAGGGGCGCUGUGGUGGUGGAGAUGGCCGACGCCGUAGACAAGCGCUAGGAGCUUCUGAAGCCAUGGCCGAGCGAAGGGGAGAGCCGCCAUGCUAGACGAGAACAAUAACCGUGGUAGAUGAUGUUCAGGGAGAUAUUACAAACUGCUAGAUGUUGCUACUGUAUUGACUAUAAGCUGCUGGAUUUCUUGCUCCCAAGUAUACUUGCUUAUCUGUGCUAUAAUGGAAAAUAGCCUAACCGUUGGACCUUCAGUUUAUUAUAUUUUCUUCUUUGUUCUUGGUAGACAUGCGCAAGUCAAUGGCUGAUCACUUCUUUAUAUGCGAUCCUGAGCUGAUGUGAAGGUCCUAUGUUUUCUUGAUUGGCAGGCAGGUGAGCAAGAGGAGGACCAUAGGUCAGGGAGUGUUUGGUUUCAGGGAGAUCGUUGGGGAGGAGUUCAUGACCAUGUUCCUGUCAGUUUUUAGCCGUAUGGUUCAGAGACUGGUAAUUACUUUGUCAAACACACAUAUUCUUUCUUGAUACGCAUUUUCAUUUUUGGUUAUCUGUGAGAAUGUUUAGUAUACAGAGAAGUUGUUCCGUGGAGCAGCUAAACAAAAAAAAUAACUUUUCAUUUGUGAUAGUUUGCGAUAUGCAGAGAUAGGUAUAUCGGCUCAUGGCCAAACAUAUGAAACUGUUCUUGAUACUAUUUUAUCCUUUUCUUAAUAUCAUCAUCAUACACACACACACACACACACACACACACACACACACACACAAAUUAGAAACUUUCUAACAUCUGCAUAUUUCAGGUUUAGGAGGAUGUAGAGAGAACGAUGUUCAAACAAUUAAGUGCAGCAUCAACAGACGUGUUCCUAAAUUUUGAUGACUAUUAGAAAGAGAGAGGAUAUGGUGACCGAAAGUCUAUGUGUUUGUGCCGUGUACGUGUCGGGCAGUGGUAGAUUAAAGAUAUUUUGUAAUUGGACUUGGCAAGGGAUAGACUAGCAUGAAUUUUUUUUGAGUAGCGAAAUGGCGCAACCCUUCGUGAUUUUUGAAGUUUGAACAGAGUUAUGAACCAUUCGUCGCCUAAUCCCUAGAUUCUUGGAGUAUCAAGAUGGUGUGGCCAUCAGGGUUCCCAUCACCAUGCAUGCCAUGCUUGAGCUCCUCAAGAACGCCACCAAGCUGGCGUGUAAUGGAUGAUGGCUGAUGCAACGGUGGAGGAGGUGUAUUGAUGUCAGUUUGAAGCAAAUCAGGAGAACGCCACCAUCGAUGAGGUUGCCAGGUGAAGGAAGCAGCGGACUGGUGGCAAGGCUUUUCUACUCACCAUCGUUUGAGUUCAUCAUCUGUCGCUACUGUACCCACUCAGUCGUAUCCAUGUUUGCAUAUUCUCUAGCCCAUUCAAUAAUCCACGGUAAGUGGUUAGGAGCUACAUAGUUUCCACUUUUGCCAUGUUUUAUAUACCGAACUAAUAUUUUUUUACAUGAAACUAGAUUCUGAUCUUUUGGUCUUGCCUACUGUUUACUUAUUCAAAUUGAUUCAGUUUUCCGUUCGUGUGCAUUAGUCAGAUUAUAAGUUGUUGCACGCUGCCGCAAGCUGCCCGGAGCCACGCAACCUCUGUCCUAAAGGCACGACAUCGCUAAUAAUUCUGGAUCCACUUCCUCUAGGAAGCAUAGUCAUUGAAACCCAUAAUAUGAGAGACAUUUUAGUUGCCCGAUGGUAGGAUGCUGCUAUGGCGGAAUAAAAGGAUGAUUGUGAUUACAGGUACAUUUUGGAUAAUAGCAGGAAGGAGCUGCUGGAACUAACUAAUCUAGAAAGUAAUUUCUUGAUCUAUUUACUCACAUACACAAGUAGUUGUUGAGGUAAAGCAAUAUGCUUUUUGGGCCCAAGUAGCAUUUACAUUAAUAGUGAUUUUUGUGAGAAGAAAAAUAUUAUAGGCUGAUUCCUAUUGUUACAGUACCAACUUAUCUUAGAAACAGAGAAGCACCAAGCUGGACUGCUGGCCGAGGAGAUGCAUAUGUGGGCACUUUCUGCUGGCCAAGUUCAGAAGCAAAUUAACUGCUUGUAUUUGCAUAAGCAACAGAGAGAAAAUGUUAGAGAACUUAGCAAAAAAAUGAAAGGAGAAAGAAAUGUCUAAGAAAUCGAAGGUAUUGCUGCAGCUGAUAGGUCGCCUACUCCUUUGGAUACCAUUCAUAUCGUACUUAACUCAGUGAGCAAAUUGAGGACUACGGUUAUCUUCCAUGUCUAUGUGAAAUAAAUGCGAUAGUUUCAUAACACCAAAUGGUCCAAAGUGCAUCCAAUACAUGGUCAAGAGCACCACUGACGUUCACGAAACCGAUAAUAUUACAGGACAGUGUAGAUAUGAGUUUUCUAAUUUUGUCAAAUGCAGCUAUGUUAUACUAACAACCCGUGUUUGCAUGUCCUAAUUUAUGUAUGCAAAAGCUGUAUCUUUUGUUGAGCUAUAUUAUAAUAUUAUGUGUAUGUACGCGCAUGUUGCACAGAGAUGUUAUUUGGCAUGCAUGAAUUCUAAUUUUAAUUUAAAGUUAGGCAUGAUUAAUCUCACACACCACAAAAUUUCCUUACUGUGCACUACAUCUUUUAUCUCCAAUUUGGAUAAUAUAAGCGAUAACUCUUUAGUCCGAUUUAAUUAUCUUCAAAAGUUUGCUAGAGGCUAUAGAUGACCUUUUGGUUUUUCUUCAAUAAUUUUUUAUAGUGCAAUUGUAUGAACUGGUUUCCCCAUCAGGGCUGUAUUUUCUUUUCUUUGAUAGAUUCUAGAGUCAUGUACUUCCGUUUCAUGUGCCCAUGUUUGCCAUUAUAUGUGCCUUUCUUGUUGAGCUCUAUUUGGAUGAACUUUUGUUAUGGGAUGUGACUUCAUGGGCAUGAACGGACAUUUUGAUCUAACCUUGUUUGAGAUGUUCUUUUAUGCUUGCCUCAGGCACUCAGCUUUGUGUGGUCAGUGAUGACAAUCGACAGUGUCUCUGUUAAAAAUUAUUCAUAAUUACUAGCAGCAUUCCAUAAUUUGUAUCGGGUUGUUUAUUUAUUUAUUGAGGAAAGGCUUGUAUCAGGCUGUCCUGGUGUGGCGACCUAGGAAGGACAAACAGGGUUGGUCGUCACCAAAGAUGAAAACAUUGUCGAGCCUUACUUUUUGCAAGUUGCCUCACUUCUACUUUUAGAGAAAAGAUAGCAAUUUCAGUCAUGUUGCAUGAACAUUUGUAGAUCGUGGUGCAUCAAGAUCAUAAUUGCUACACUCAAAGGUUACAUUGACCUUAUUUCUGACAUUUGCAAAAAAUGUAUUAAAAAUGUUGCAUAAUGGCACAUGGAGCAAUUUAUACUUAAUAUUUCGCCCGGUGCAACGCACGGGCAUUUGUACUAGU